This 254-nucleotide ribosomal RNA is filed under the name uncultured bacterium. Its description in RNAcentral is "partial 16S ribosomal RNA". It matches the Rfam family "Bacterial small subunit ribosomal RNA", at positions 524 to 776 of the family's 1533-position model. The record is from RNAcentral.
CACGUAGGGUGCGAGCGUUGUCCGGAAUUAUUGGGCGUAAAGAGCUCGUAGGCGGUGUGUCGCGUCGGCCGUGAAAACCUGCAGCUUAACUGUGGGCGUGCGGUCGAUACGGGCAUCACUGGAGUUCGGCAGGGGAGACUGGAAUUCCUGGUGUAGCGGUGAAAUGCGCAGAUAUCAGGAGGAACAUCGGUGGCGAAGGCGGCAUCCUGGACCGAUAUUGACGCUGAGGCGCGAAAGCCAGGGGAGCAAACGGG